CCAUGUUUUCUGUAGCUCUGCUGCUGCUGUUGGCAGCUGGAUGUGUGAAGUGUGAACAGUUGACACAGCCAGCCUCUGUGACUGUGCAGCCAGGUCAACGUCUGACCAUCACCUGUCAGGUCUCUUAUUCUUUGGGCAGCUACUACACAGCUUGGAUCAGACAGCCUGCAGGGAAAGGACUGGAGUGGAUUGGAAUGAAAUUUACUGGAGCUUCAUACUACAAAGAUUCACUAAAGAACAAGUUCAGUAUCGACUUAGACUCUUCCAGCAACACAGUGACUCUAAACGGACAGAAUGUGCAGCCUGAAGACACAGCAGUGUAUUACUGUGCCAGAGAGCCACAGUGA
This is a non-coding RNA of Micropterus dolomieu (smallmouth bass), 347 nucleotides long. The record is from the annotation of a RefSeq genome assembly. NCBI's taxonomy places the organism in Eukaryota, Metazoa, Chordata, Actinopteri, Centrarchiformes, Centrarchidae.